CCCAAUUUAAAAAAGAAAGAUUUCAGCCCAUAUAAUCAAUUAAAACUUGUCUUGAGCCCAAUCUAUGUAUAUAUUUUUUUAAAAAAAAUCGUCCCAGGAAGAGAGGCCCAAUCAGUAUUUUUUUUUUAAAACAACUAAGCCCAAAUAUAGAGCCUAAAGUCUCAAUUAAAGUUUGGCCCAAGUUAAAAAAAUAAAACCCUCUCUCUCUUCUCUCCCUCACGCCUCUCUUCUUUCUUUUUCUUCUCUCAUCAAACUCACGCACACACCCAGCGCAGCUCAUCUCUCUAUCUUCUCUCGUUCACGAUCUGUCGCCGCCGGCUGGCGAAGUUCCGGCUUCGCGGCGUCACCUGCUCCGCCUGCAGUCGCCCAGUUAAGCUGCCAUCCGGAGCCGCUGCUGCUUCGCCUGGAGUCGCCGCCGCUAGCGGCCGCUACUGCCUGAGAUCGGCAGGUCUGCCACUCGCUGGAGGGCGUCGCCGUCAACUGCCAGCAGCCAUCUCUCCCGGAGCCGUCGCCGACUGCCGCUGUUGCUGCUGCUGCCUGAGGUCGUUGGUCAGCAGCUCGCCGGAGGAGCGCCGCUGUCGGUCUGCAGGGCUUCGGCAGUCCGCCACCUCCUCCCUCUCGUUUCAUCACCCAAUAGGUUUGUAGAUUAAAAAAAAAAUUAAAUUCAGAAAUCUGAACUUUUGUAAAGACUCCAGUUUUGGAAUGAAAACUUUGGUUUUUUCAAUAUUCUUGUUUAAGUGAGCUAGAUCUCAUGUUGUUUGUUUUUUUUUCUACGCCAGUUCGAUGUAUAUAAGAAAUCUGUAUGCUGUAAACAAAAUCACAUGUGAUCUCAUUCUUGUUGAAUUUUUCUGAAUAAUGCUAUGUAUGAAAAGAAAGAAAGUUGGGAGUUAUACCUUCACCAAAUCUUGUCAAAAGAAAAUUAUGCGCUUUAGAAUUUGCUGAGUAAAAUUGUUGUUUUAGAGCUGAAUCAUUUGGGUGAAUUUAUAGAUGAAUUUUCUAUGAUAAUGGAAGUUAUGAUAACAAAAUUUUUGGUGUAGGGAGUUGGAGAAUUUAAAUGCAGCUUUUGAAAUUUUGUAGAUUGCUGUAGAUUUUCUUCUGCAGCCUUUGAAAACUUUGCUUUCGGCGUGAUCAUCUUUUCCUUAAAUUAUGGCUUUAACGGCUAGGUGCGGCUGCUUGUAGGGGAGUAUGCAGAAGAUUGGCUUAAUAUGAUUUUAAGAGGCAAAUAGUGUUAUGUGUACUGUGGUCAAUAGUGUAGUGUUGUGUGGAGUAAGAUAAUAAGGAUGAUGGGUGUGGAGUGAAUAGUGUCGACAUUUAUGUGAGAUAGAAUAAGGAAGUAAGUGUGGUUUGGUAUCGAGUGUUGGUUUCCUAAAUCUGUAAUGAAUCUCUGAUUCUUGCUAAUUAAAUACUCGUUAUAUUUCUAAAAAUUAAAUCCUCAAACUUGGAAUUUAAUACGUGAAAGUCGUAAUUAAUUCACGACUUAAUACUAACACAUAUAUCAUGAGAUAAUAAAAUUAUUAUCCACGCAAGCUCAAGUCAUAAUUCUAGCAAUUCGAUUUAAAUAACACGAAAGUCUCAAACGUGUAGCUAAACCAAUAAAUUUAAUUAUUGGUUUGAUUCACGACUGAAUAUUAAAUCGCAACUUUGUAUCUCUUAUACAGGCUUUUGCUGAAAUAAUAUUAUCUAAAUAUAAUCAUCCCCAUUAAUAAUUAAAUAUGCAAAAGAAUUAUUAUAACUAAUGCAACUAUUCAAUCUAAUAUGUAGUUAAAAGAGCGGGGUAUCACAACGGAGCAGAUCCGACACAUCGACGACCAGAGCUUGC
RNAcentral lists this long non-coding RNA (1819 nucleotides) under Salvia miltiorrhiza (redroot sage). RNAcentral's name for it is "long non-coding RNA (SMIL_LNC000466)". Lineage: Eukaryota; Viridiplantae; Streptophyta; Magnoliopsida; Lamiales; Lamiaceae. The record is from RNAcentral.